UAGCCAUGUUGUGGACAUGAGUUUAUGAGAUCCUUAAAUCGCUCCCAACAUUAGAAUAAGGUCUCAUCUUCUUUUUGCAUAAAAUUCAUAUUUGAUUUCCUUUAGCUA
Small nucleolar RNA from Magnolia sinica, 108 nucleotides. Lineage: Eukaryota; Viridiplantae; Streptophyta; Magnoliopsida; Magnoliales; Magnoliaceae. The record is from RefSeq and is a predicted model, not a curated record.